Molecule: ribosomal RNA, 395 nt
Filed under: uncultured bacterium
Lineage: Bacteria
Description: bacterial SSU rRNA
Rfam family: Bacterial small subunit ribosomal RNA
Source: RNAcentral
AUUAAACGCUGGCGGCAUGCCUUACACAUGCAAGUCGAACGGUAGCGCGGGGCAACCUGGCGACGAGUGGCGAACGGGUGAGUAAAGCAUCGGAACGUGCCCUGGAAUGGGGGAUAACGUAGCGAAAGUUACGCUAAUACCGCAUAUUCUGUGAGCAGGAAAGCAGGGGAUCGCAAGACCUUGCGUUCUGGGAGCGGCCGAUGUCGGAUUAGCUAGUUGGUGGGGUAAAGGCCUACCAAGGCGACGAUCCGUAGCGGGUCUGAGAGGAUGAUCCGCCACACUGGGACUGAGACACGGCCCAGACUCCUACGGGAGGCAGCAGUGGGGAAUUUUGGACAAUGGGCGCAAGCCUGAUCCAGCCAUGCCGCGUGAGUGAAGAAGGCCUCGGUUGUAAG